GAUGAACGCUGGCGGCGUGCCUAAUACAUGCAAGUCGAGCGAACGGACGAGAAGCUUGCUUCUCUGAUGUUAGCGGCGGACGGGUGAGUAACACGUGGAUAACCUACCUAUAAGACUGGGAUAACUUCGGGAAACCGGAGCUAAUACCGGAUAAUAUUUUGAACCGCAUGGUUCAAAAGUGAAAGUCGGUCUUGCUGUCACUUAUAGAUGCAUCCGCGCUGCAUUAGCUGGUUGGUAAGGUAACGGCUUACCAAGGCAACGAUGCAUAGCCGACCUGAGAGGGGGAUCGGCCACCCGGGAACUGAGACACGGUCCAGACUCCUACGGGAGGCAGCAGUAGGGAAUGUUCCGCAAUGGGCGAAAGCCUGACGGAGCAACGCCGCGUGAGUGAUGGAGGUCUUCGGAUCGUAAAACUCUGUUAUGAGGGAAGAACAUAUGUGUAAGUAACUGUGCACAUCUUGACGGUACCUAAUCAGAAAGCCCCGGCUAACUACGUG
RNAcentral lists this ribosomal RNA (497 nucleotides) under uncultured bacterium. Its description in RNAcentral is "partial 16S ribosomal RNA". It matches the Rfam family "Bacterial small subunit ribosomal RNA", at positions 28 to 507 of the family's 1533-position model. The record is from RNAcentral.